UACGAAGGGGGCUAGCGUUGCUCGGAAUGACUGGGCGUAAAGGGCGCGUAGGCGGCACACACAGUCAGACGUGAAAUUCCUGGGCUUAACCUGGGGGCUGCGUUUGAUACAUGUGAGCUAGAGGAUGGAAGAGGCUCGUGGAAUUCCCAGUGUAGAGGUGAAAUUCGUAGAUAUUGGGAAGAACACCGGUGGCGAAGGCGGCGAGCUGGUCCAUUACUGACGCUGAGGCGCGAAAGCGUGGGGAGCAAACAG
Molecule: ribosomal RNA, 252 nt
Filed under: uncultured bacterium
Lineage: Bacteria
Description: partial 16S ribosomal RNA
Rfam family: Bacterial small subunit ribosomal RNA
Source: RNAcentral